UCGCAUCAACCGACGCUCGAAACUUCGACGCCAUGACCUUCAGUGAGCGAUCUUCAUCGUCGACGACACCAACAACAGCAACAACACUUCGAACAACUAACGAAUCUUCAGCGAACGAGCGAAUCUUCAGGUAACUUAUUUUUUUUCUUUUUCUUUUUCUUGUUUUUAUUCGCCUGUUUUAAUUUUUCGUAAUUUGUCAUUUUUUUCAGAAUUCAGAUCUUGUUUGAAGACCUCGUUUUUUCAUUUCCGUGAAUUUUUCGAAGAACUCAUUUUUUCAUCCUAAAAUCUCCAGAUGUGUUCGAAGUAUAACAACGAGAAGGAAGAUCAAGAUGUGAAGGAAGCUCCAACAUUUUUUUUACUAUUAUUGAUAGAUUUGUUUUUAUGAAUUAUUGUAAUAUAUAUGUUCUAAAAUUCGAAGCAUUUUCGUUUUUAUUUUUCCAGAUCUGGUCGAAUUUUUGUACAGUAUUGUUAUUAGUUUUAUUUGAUUUUCAAUCCUCUAUCUCUUA
This is a long non-coding RNA of Beta vulgaris subsp. vulgaris (sugar beet), 506 nucleotides long. RefSeq lists it as uncharacterized. The transcript is spliced from 2 exons. The record is from RefSeq and is a predicted model, not a curated record. Lineage: Eukaryota; Viridiplantae; Streptophyta; Magnoliopsida; Caryophyllales; Amaranthaceae.